RNAcentral lists this long non-coding RNA (1254 nucleotides) under Strix occidentalis caurina (northern spotted owl). Its description in RNAcentral is "lncRNA (ENSSOCG00000015067.1)". The record is from RNAcentral. Lineage: Eukaryota; Metazoa; Chordata; Aves; Strigiformes; Strigidae.
UAUUAUUAAAACAAAAUAAGUAGUUUGCUUUUGUUCGCUUUGACAACAUAGUAUGUAGUGUAAACAGCACAACAUUAACUGAAAGUUCUUUUGGGAGCUUUCUUUGUGUUGACAGUUUAAUGCCUGAAGUAGAGUGCUGGGAAAUGUAAUGCUCCGUUUUGUUUGUUUUUUAAUUUAAGGCACAUGAUAAACUUAAAUCACCAGAUGUUACCUACAGUUUUCCAGGAGAUUCAAGAGAAGUUGUAAAAGUUAAAGAAUCCACUGGGGGAGCUGAUGAUUCUGAAGAAACUCCAAAAUUUCCAUUAGAGGGAUCUCGGAAGUCUGCGAAGGAGGACUUCAAACCAGUACGCCCAUUACAAAAAGGAACAGAGAGCUUACCUCAGCCAUCUGGUACCAAAGGGAAGGAAGACAGUAAGAAAAGGUCAGCUGGAAAAUGUUCAGAAAAUGCAGCGCAAAAAGCUGGGAUGAAAGGACCUGUAAGUGUAAAACAAACAAACAAGAAAACAGAGAACUAGAAUGCAAAAAGCCAGGAUUACAUUUAGAAUAUGUAUUUAAGCCAGGAUUACAUUUAAAUAUAUUUUUUCUAUUAUUGUAAUCAUGUGGUUUUGGUUUGGUGUGUUUCGGGUUUUUUUUAUUUUUAAACCAGCAUGCAAACACUGUUUUAUGGUAUUCACCAGUUUAAUUUGCAGAAAGUUCAGAUCAUCAUUCUAGUUUUAGAAUAGAUUGCAGCAUUCAGCCUUUGUCCUGGCAUAAUUUCUUAGUAGACAGCUCUGCCUUGAAACUUCAACUUGGAUUUUUUUUUCAGCUCGUAAUUUUGGAGGCAAAUAUGAUGCAAAUGCUUUUAUCUCACAUAACAUUCAUACCAGAAAUUAAUUUCAAAAUGUAUUUUAAAAAAAUAAUUCCAGAAUUUAUCAGAACUUGACAAACAGGAGCUGAAACAACGAGAGGACUACCUAAAGAAAAAACGAGACAUGCUGAUGGCCACGAAGAAAGAGUCAAGAAAUAACGUACCACUACCCACAAAGACUGACCAGAAAGAAGAGGAAUCGUCUCCUAAAGAGGUGAGGGAUUCAAAUAUUUUAAUCACCCUGACCAUUUUAUAAAAAGCACAGAUGAUGUCAGUGAAGAUGUCAAUAUUGCUGUGGAAUAUUGUAGGAAGAUAAAAAAAAAAUAGUAGUGAGGGAAAGAGGAAGCAUUUUCAAGUUGCUGUUUUUCUAGAAGCUCAUAGGCUAGACAUUUUAGUAAUUAAGAGCA